RNAcentral lists this unclassified non-coding RNA (251 nucleotides) under Hevea brasiliensis (rubber tree). The record is from RNAcentral. Lineage: Eukaryota; Viridiplantae; Streptophyta; Magnoliopsida; Malpighiales; Euphorbiaceae.
UGAAUAUAUACCUCUUUCUCAAAAGUGUGUUGUUAUUCCCAAGCACUCUUCAUAAUUGUGUAAUUUGGUUAUCAUAAACUAGGUUCUAUGAAUAUAUACAUAUUCCAACUACAAUUAAUAGGAAAAAAAAUAUACAAAUACUCAUGUAAGAGUAAUUGUUUUCCCUUGUGUUUUUCUUAGUUCAUAGCUGCAUAUAUUAUAACUUGAGCCAUAAAGUUUCGAAAAAAACAAAAUUUUACUCAUACCAAGCA